Molecule: ribosomal RNA, 501 nt
Filed under: uncultured bacterium
Lineage: Bacteria
Description: bacterial SSU rRNA
Rfam family: Bacterial small subunit ribosomal RNA
Source: RNAcentral
GGAUGAACGCUAGCUACAGGCUUAACACAUGCAAGUCGAGGGGCAUCAUUGAGAUAGCUUGCAUUCAGAUGGCGACCGGCGCACGGGUGAGUAACGCGUAUCCAACCUUCCCUAGUAGGGCAUAGCCCGGCGAAAGUCGGAUUUAAUACCCUAUGUUUUCCAAUGAGGACAUCUGAGCUGGAACAAAGAUUCAUCGCUAAGGGAUGGGGAUGCGUCUGAUUAGGUAGUAGGCGGGGUAACGGCCCACCUAGCCGACGAUCAGUAGGGGUUCUGAGAGGAAGGUCCCCCACACUGGUACUGAGACACGGACCAGACUCCUACGGGAGGCAGCAGUGAGGAAUACUGGUCAAGUGGGCGUAAGCCUGAACCAGCCAAGUAGCGUUGCAGGAUGACUGCCCUAUGGGUUGUAAACUGCUUUUAUGCGGGGAUAAAGUGAGGGACGUGUCCCUUUUUGUAGGUACCGCAUGAAUAAGGACCGGCUAAUUCCGUGCCAGCCGCCGC